AUGCAAUUAACGAAACAGUUACAGAAAGACCCAGAUCUGUUCUUUUUCCUAGUGACCAUGGGUGGAAGUCCUACUGUACUGGUGUGCUGCUCCUUUUCCCAGAGAUCUGCCAUUUUUCUGCACUGGCAGAAAAGUAUGGAAAAGGAACACCAGAAAAGCAUUACAAUCUGCAGAAAAUGCAAGAUGGUGGAGUGGAAGAAUUGUGGAUAUACAUGGACAGUAUCCCAGAACGGAGAUGGAAGAAACAGCAGAGUAUGCAGGCAAGUAAAUUAAAAACAUGCUAGAAAAAUUUUGGCGAUCUGACUUGACUGUCAGCAACUGCUCUUCAGGUUAGUUGUUAAGUAGAAAUUACAAAUUUUCCUUAUUUUUCAGCUGUUUAUCUAGUUUGUCUCAGCACAUUUGACUUCAGGUACUAGUGAUAAAAAAAAAAAGAGGAAUAUCAACAUAAUAGCUUCCAUUUUCUUUUGAAAUGUAAUUUCCUCCCUAUUUUCUCAGUGACCUGGAGCUACUCCUUUAAACACGCUUGGCUUCAAAAUGUAAAACAAUUUAUUUUUCUGUCGAGAUAGUGAGGGAUUUAGAUAUGAAGUAAUGCAUCCUUAUGCUUUGCAGCUAAUACCAAUUUCCUGCUUUCUCCUGAUAUUUUGAUAUCUCUGCUUACCGUGGUCAUCUCUGUACGCAAGUUACAAAACACCGAAGCAACAUAAAGACAAAUUAUAACAGAGCAAUAGCACGUUAGAUAGAGCAAGUCACAAAAACAAUGCCAGCCUCUGAGAAGUCUCUAUUUACAGAGCUUCCCUAUGGUCCUUUCUGAAGCAAUUAACAGAUUCUAGGGCAACAGAUACAGUUCCUUCCAACCGAUACCAGCCGCUCUCUCAGUUCUGCAGCCAUACUACUUUUAUCUGCCUAUGUGAUACUAAAUGUGCAUGCACACUUAGUUUACUGAACACAGCAAAGGAGAAAUAGGUUCCAAUGAUUUUUAAGUAAUGGUCAGUAGGAAGGAGAAAAUGAAGUGCUUUUGAAUGGGUGCAAUAUUGUAUUAUUAUUCCAUUGUUAUUUGAAUAUUUUUAGUUGUUACUUGGCCUUGGAAAUUAUACAAUAUAUAUAUAUAUGUUUCAAAGAUGGCUAAGAGGACACGUCAGAAAAUACAUCCAUAGGUCUUUGCAGGGUUUGUUAGUACACAUAUAUUAGCUGUUUUAUAUACAAAGGCAUUCAGAUGUAUUUUCCUUCACUUUUAUCAGUGUAUCAGUUUUCCAGUUAAUGUAUUGUUUCAAUUAAGUAUAACGCAGUAAGAAGUAGAAGGUGACUUUGUUGUCUAAGUGACUGGAAUGAUGGCUAAAAUCCGGCAGCUGCACCAUUUCUUUCUAAACCAAUCCCAAAUUCAAUUAAAAUUCUAUUUUGGGGGCACAAGUAAUAAUCUGUGAUAAUUGCAUUACAGUAAUUUAAACUACACAGUUUUUAAUCUCAUGUAAUUUAAAUGCAUCCGAGGAAGACAGCUUGAGCUACAAAUUUUGUUUCCUAAUAUUGGAAGUAAUGUAUGUAAAUGGAAACUAAAUUAUAAUACUUUGCUUCACAUUACUUUUAUGGCUAUGUAAUGCUCUCAGAUUGCUAUUCCUCGAACUAUACUAAGAAUUUAAAAAAUUGCCAUUUAACAUGAUUAGCACUGUUAUUUGUUUGAGUCCUCAUAAUUCUAGAAACAUUUAGGUUUUUAUUUUGUCUAUCAAUUAAAAGAAGAAGAAUAAAUAUUAGGGAAACCAGUGCA
RNAcentral lists this long non-coding RNA (1759 nucleotides) under Phasianus colchicus (ring-necked pheasant). RNAcentral's name for it is "lncRNA (ENSPCLG00000012804.1)". Lineage: Eukaryota; Metazoa; Chordata; Aves; Galliformes; Phasianidae. The record is from RNAcentral.